RNAcentral lists this ribosomal RNA (392 nucleotides) under uncultured bacterium. RNAcentral's name for it is "partial 16S ribosomal RNA". It matches the Rfam family "Bacterial small subunit ribosomal RNA", at positions 523 to 918 of the family's 1533-position model. The record is from RNAcentral.
ACACGUAGGGGCCUGACGUUGUUCGGAAUCAUUGGGCGUAAAGGGCGCGCAGGCGGCCGUCCAAGUCCGGUGUUAAAUGGUCGGGCUCAACCCGAUCAUGCGCUGGAAACUGGGCGGCUGGAGUCCCGGAGGGGAUGCCGGAAUUCCAGGGGUAGGGGUGAAAUCUGUAGAUAUCUGGAAGAACACCGAUGGCGAAGGCAGGCAUCUGGCCGGAGACUGACGCUGAGGCGCGAAGGCGCGGGGAGCGAACAGGUUUAGAUACCCUGGUAGUCCGCGCAGUAAACGAUGCGCACCAGGUGUCGGGCGGCAGCGCCCGGUACCGGAGCAAACGCGAUGAGUGCGCCGCCUGGGGAGUAUGCCCGCAAGGGUGAAACUCAAAUGAAUUGACGGGG